This 838-nucleotide long non-coding RNA is filed under the name Elaeis guineensis (African oil palm). Its description in RNAcentral is "long non-coding RNA (EGUI_LNC043744)". Lineage: Eukaryota; Viridiplantae; Streptophyta; Magnoliopsida; Arecales; Arecaceae. The record is from RNAcentral.
ACACAAGAUCCUUCCACCCUCUCUUUCUCACAUCCAAAGAUGGAUAAUGUUUGGUAUUUUAUGGUAUGUUCAAAUGUGGUUUGAAAUUGGUUACCAUAUAAGAUAAUGUUUGACAUUAUCUAAACCUUGCCGCCAACUUCCUUCGUUUCCUCUUAUUUUGUGUGACAAUGUGGAAGAUUUUACCAUGGAGAAUCAAAUAGAGAUCUGAUUCCACAUGAAAGCAAGUUAUUUGGGGCAUCCCAUAUUAUUUUGGCAUUGAAAUUAUGAGAGGGAGGCGAUAUCUCAUGGAAGAGUCCAAACGUUGGUAGACUCUUCAUCCCACUUCCUUACAUGCCUAAAUAAAAGAGGUUUGUUAUUCUUUUUGUGCGUGUAAGAGAGAAAAGAAAAGGCUUUUCAUGGUGAGAAGUCCUUGGGCAUGGGUUCAUGAUGUGAAAAGAAGAGAAGACUUCUCUCUUCUUAGGUUAGCACAAAAACCUAGUUUCUAGGGUUUGGACCAGGGGUUUGGGAAGAGAGAAAACUUAGAGGAAAAAUUAUUUCUUCUUUAGCUUUCUUCCACAUUCUCAUCUCCUCCAGAUGUUCAUCUUCAACCUCUAGAAAAAUUUCAAAGAUUUGAAAAAAGAAUUCAGAUCAGCCAAAAAGAAGGUCUUCGCACGAACUAGCAUUCUCAAGUAGACGAUCAGAUUGGAGCUUCGAGUGGACCUUCCAUAGAGAUCGGAUACAUGUGCAGCUACGAGCAACCAGCGAGGAUCUUUCUUACUAUAUUUUUCAGCAGCAACGAUCAUCGAUCCGCACUCAGGUAUCGAGUUCUAAAUUUAGAUUAAAUAUAGAUUUGAUCUAC